CCUACGGGAGGCAGCAGUGAGGAAUAUUGGUCAAUGGGCGCAAGCCUGAACCAGCCAUGCCGCGUGCAGGAAGACGGUCCUAUGGAUUGUAAACUGCUUUUAUUAGGGAAUAAACCUCUUUACGUGUAGAGAGCUGAAGGUACCAAAUGAAUAAGCACCGGCUAACUCCGUGCCAGCAGCCGCGGUAAUACGGAGGGUGCAAGCGUUAUCCGGAAUCAUUGGGUUUAAAGGGUCCGCAGGCGGUCUUAUAAGUCAGUGGUGAAAUCCUACAGCUCAACUGUAGAACUGCCAUUGAUACUGUAAGACUUGAAUUCGAUCGAAGUGGGCGGAAUAUGACAUGUAGCGGUGAAAUGCUUAGAUAUGUCAUAGAACACCGAUAGCGAAGGCAGCUCACUAGGUCUGGAUUGACGCUCAGGGACGAAAGCGUGGGGAGCAAACAG
Molecule: ribosomal RNA, 440 nt
Filed under: Fluviicola taffensis
Lineage: Bacteria; Pseudomonadati; Bacteroidota; Flavobacteriia; Flavobacteriales; Crocinitomicaceae
Description: bacterial SSU rRNA
Rfam family: Bacterial small subunit ribosomal RNA
Source: RNAcentral